GGGCGUGUGGUCUAGUGGUAUGAUUCUCGCUUUGGGCGACUUCCUGCCAAAACAGGAAGACAAAGCAUGCAGAGGCCCUGGGUUCAAUUCCCAGCUCGCCCC
Molecule: transfer RNA, 102 nt
Filed under: Saccharomyces cerevisiae (brewer's yeast)
Lineage: Eukaryota; Fungi; Ascomycota; Saccharomycetes; Saccharomycetales; Saccharomycetaceae
Rfam family: tRNA
About the family: Transfer RNA (tRNA) molecules are approximately 80 nucleotides in length. Their secondary structure includes four short double-helical elements and three loops (D, anti-codon, and T loops).
Source: RNAcentral